Molecule: transfer RNA, 74 nt
Filed under: Entomophthora muscae
Lineage: Eukaryota; Fungi; Entomophthoromycota; Entomophthoromycetes; Entomophthorales; Entomophthoraceae
Description: tRNA-Ile
Rfam family: tRNA
About the family: Transfer RNA (tRNA) molecules are approximately 80 nucleotides in length. Their secondary structure includes four short double-helical elements and three loops (D, anti-codon, and T loops).
Source: RNAcentral
GCUCGCUUAACUCAGUUGGUUAGAGUGUGGUGCUAAUAACGCCGAAGUCACAGGUUCGACCCCUGUAGUGAGCA